GAAACCAACAGGGAUUGCCCUAGUAACGGCGAGUGAAGCGGCAACAGCUCAAAUUUGAAAUCUGGCGCAAGCCCGAGUUGUAAUUUGUAGAGGAUGCUUCUGGGCAGCGGCCGUUCUAAGUUCCUUGGAACAGGACGUCAUAGAGGGUGAGAAUCCCGUAUGUGACCGGCGCGCACCCUCCACGUAGCUCCUUCGAAGAGUCGAGUUGUUUGGGAAUGCAGCUCUAAAUGGGAGGUAAAUUUCUUCUAAAGCUAAAUACCGGCCAGAGACCGAUAGCGCACAAGUAGAGUGAUCGAAAGAUGAAAAGCACUUUGGAAAGAGAGUUAAAAAGCACGUGAAAUUGUUGAAAGGGAAGCGCUUGCAACCAGACUUCGCGGCGGUGUUCCGCCGGCCUUCUGGCCGGUCCACUCGCCGCCGCGAGGCCAGCAUCGUCUGGGGCCGCCGGAUAAGACCGCGGGAAUGUGGCUCCCUCGGGAGUGUUAUAGCCCGCGGUGAUGCGGCGCGUCUCGGGCGAGGUCCGCGCUUCGGCAAGGAUGUUGGCGUAAUGGUUGCCAGCGGCCCGUCUUGAAACACGGACCAAGGAGUCUAACAUCUAUGCGAGUGUUCGGGUGUCAAACCCCUACGCGUAAUGAAAGUGAACGGAGGUGGGAGCUUCGGCGCACCAUCGACCGAUCCUGAUGUCCUCGGAUGGAUUUGAGUAAGAGCAUAGCUGUUGGGACCCGAAAGAUGGUGAACUAUGCCUGAAUAGGGUGAAGCCAGAGGAAACUCUGGUGGAGGCUCGCAGCGGUUCUGACGUGCAAAUCGAUCGUCAAAUUUGGGUAUAGGGGCGAAAGACUAAUCGAACCA
This 846-nucleotide ribosomal RNA is filed under the name Hyalozasmidium aerohyalinosporum. RNAcentral describes it as "eukaryotic LSU rRNA". It matches the Rfam family "Eukaryotic large subunit ribosomal RNA", at positions 61 to 942 of the family's 3401-position model. The record is from RNAcentral. Lineage: Eukaryota; Fungi; Ascomycota; Dothideomycetes; Mycosphaerellales; Mycosphaerellaceae.